UCCCCAAUGGCUCAGUGGGUAAAGUAUUUGCCUGUGAUGCAGGAGACACAGGUUUGAUUCCUGGGUUAGGAA
RNAcentral lists this transfer RNA (72 nucleotides) under Bos taurus (domestic cattle). It matches the Rfam family "tRNA". Rfam says of the family: Transfer RNA (tRNA) molecules are approximately 80 nucleotides in length. Lineage: Eukaryota; Metazoa; Chordata; Mammalia; Artiodactyla; Bovidae. RNAcentral also lists the same sequence under 2 other names. The record is from Rfam by way of RNAcentral.